This 1904-nucleotide long non-coding RNA is filed under the name Lathyrus oleraceus (garden pea). RNAcentral's name for it is "Pisum sativum (pea) long non-coding RNA (PSAT_LNC003081)". Lineage: Eukaryota; Viridiplantae; Streptophyta; Magnoliopsida; Fabales; Fabaceae. The record is from RNAcentral.
CAUGUUGAAGUCACAAUUGUGGACAAACAUGAUCAAUUUGAAGAUACCUUCACAAUACCUGUAGAAAAGGAACCUUUAUACAAGACAGGGAGAGCACUUUGCACUUUCGAUGAAAUUGAUGUAUAAAAGAUAACAAAGUCUUCAUCAGACAUGUCAAGAUGAUAUUUGAUUAUGAUUUUUCAAAAGUUUUUCAAGGUACAUGAUAUUCAUCUUGUAUUAUUAUACUUAAUCAAUUCAUAAUUCCAUUUGUGAAUUAAUUAUGAUUGUUCAUGUAUGUUCAUAAUCAUGUGUUGUUUGUUUGAUCUGAAACAUUUGUGUUGUAUUAUAAGUUUAUGUUUGAUUAUUAUGUUCACUUAUGUAUAAAAUACGUUACUCUUGCCAAAAAUCUUAUAAAAAUUCAGACAAAUUUUAGUCCAACCAUGUAUACUCUCUCCCCUUUUAAAAUAAAAAGAGCCCCACAUCCCUUGUGAAACCCUCGUAGCCUUCAAUCUCAAUCCCUUAAGGAAAGGAAAGUAAUGCUCCCAACACUCUCCCUUUCCCAUCUUCUCCAAAUUUUCUCCAAACUCUAUUAGAAGCUUCAAACUUUCUUCAUCUUUAACAAUGGCAUCUCAAAGAAAGGGAAAAGGAAAGGCUUCUUUAUCAAGCUCUAAACUUCCAACUAUGGGUUUCUCAAGGCUCCUCAGUCCUCACCACCACUCAACAAAGAGAAAGAUUCAUUGCAUUCUUCCAUGAAAAUAAGCUUAUAUCUCUAACAUAUGUUAACCUUCACACUUUUUAUUCAAGAUGCUUUAUUUUUCCUGCAUUGUUGAGAAAUCGGAAAAUAGAAGGAUUGAUUAUGGAUGUUGUUUCAUUCUAUCCCGAUUAGUGAAAGUCUUUUAUACGACUAUUACAAAUGUUGAAAUGAAAUUGUUGUUGGUUGUCAAGAAUCAAAUUCUAGAUGUUAUUUCACAAUGAAAAAUAUGUUGGUUUACGUUAUGCAAGGAUUUUAACAAAUAUUUUCAAGUACUGCAAUGUGGAUACUACCAUUGAACUUCACUCCAAAGUGUCGUACACAGAUUUGUAGACUACAAGAGAUAUUAUCAAUAAUAAAAUGGGAGUUAUUUAUAACAAGCUUGAAGGAACCUUCUAUUACUUAGAUGAAGAGUUGGCUGAACCUUGUGCUCCUCCUCGCUCCUCAACCAAUGGAAGAUGUUGGAUCAACCAAUCAAAUGAUUAUGGACUACAUGGUUUAACAAUUUGAGAAUAUCGGUCAAUAAUUCGGUAGCAUCCAUCAUGAGUUGGCUGAAUUUCGGGUAGGAUGGAUCGUUUGGAAGUUUUUCAGAGAUGAGAUGAGAAUAAUAAUGAUAUGAAUGCAGAAUGAUCUUUGAACAAGAUUUUUUGAUUUUUAAUUUAUUUCAGUUUUCUUGUUAAGACAUGAUUUUGGCUAUGUAUCAGUUUAGACUUAUUUUGUUUUUUCUAUGUUAUGCAUGUUUGGAUGUUUGUGGUUAAUUUUAAUAUAUUUGGUUUUUAGUAUAUUUUUUGUGUGCUUGAUGAAUGGUUAUAUGUUAUGUGUGUAUUUUCCUAUGCUUGAAUUUCUACUAUUUCUCCAUCUUUCCUUUUUUUUUAAUAAUAUUAAAAGGGGGAGAAGGAUGUAAGUUUGUGUUUUUUCCUUGUUCAUAGUUCAUAUAAGGUACUCAAUUGAUACAAAGAUCUAAAAUAACUCAAGUAUUCAUCAUUUAAGGGUGAGUCAUCAAUCUUAGGGGGUCUUUUCAAGAAAAUACAAACAUCAUGUACAUAUUUUUCAUCAUUAGAUUGUGAAGACAAACUUUUGAUAUAAUAAUGUUUUGAUGAAGACAAAUGUAUUUAAAGAAUGAAAAGAUAGCUCAUGAUUGAAGAAUUCUCAAGAAAAGGAUGAUCAAGCUCAU